This 440-nucleotide ribosomal RNA is filed under the name uncultured bacterium. Its description in RNAcentral is "partial 16S ribosomal RNA". It matches the Rfam family "Bacterial small subunit ribosomal RNA", at positions 338 to 795 of the family's 1533-position model. The record is from RNAcentral.
CCUACGGGAGGCAGCAGUAGGGAAUAUUGCUCAAUGGGGGAAACCCUGAAGCAGCAACGCCGCGUGGAGGAUGAAGGUUUUCGGAUUGUAAACUCCUUUUGUUAGAGAAGAUAAUGACGGUAUCUAACGAAUAAGCACCGGCUAACUCCGUUCCAGCAGCCGCGGUAAUACGGAGGGUGCAAGCGUUACUCGGAAUCACUGGGCGUAAAGGGCGCGUAGGCGGGAUAGCAAGUCAGAUGUGAAAUCCUAUGGCUUAACCAUAGAACUGCAUUUGAAACUGUUAUUCUAGAGUAUGGGAGAGGUAGGUGGAAUUCUUGGUGUAGGGGUAAAAUCCGUAGAGAUCAAGAGGAAUACUCAUUGCGAAGGCGACCUGCUAGAACAUAACUGACGCUGAUGCGCGAAAGCGUGGGGAGCAAACAGGAUUAGAUACCCCGGUAGUC